CGCUAGUAAUCGUAGAUCAGCAUGCUACGGUGAAUACGUUCCCGGGUCUUGUACACACCGCCCGUCACACCACGAGAGUUUGUAACACCCGAAGCCGGUGGAGUAACCAUUUUGGAGCUAGCCGUCGAAGGUGGGACAAAUGAUUGGGGUGAAGUCGUAACAAGGUAGCCGUAUCGGAAGGUGCGGCUGGAUCACCUCCUUUCUAAGGA
RNAcentral lists this ribosomal RNA (209 nucleotides) under Staphylococcus agnetis. Its description in RNAcentral is "partial 16S ribosomal RNA". It matches the Rfam family "Bacterial small subunit ribosomal RNA", at positions 1333 to 1533 of the family's 1533-position model. The record is from RNAcentral. Lineage: Bacteria; Bacillati; Bacillota; Bacilli; Caryophanales; Staphylococcaceae.